RNAcentral lists this long non-coding RNA (1436 nucleotides) under Pan troglodytes (chimpanzee). RNAcentral's name for it is "long non-coding RNA NONPTRT002611". Lineage: Eukaryota; Metazoa; Chordata; Mammalia; Primates; Hominidae. The record is from RNAcentral.
GUUAGCCCAUUUUGUAAAUAAUAUACAUAUAUAUGUAUUAAAAAAAAAACCCUUGAGGUAGGUGAACCAAAAACUUAAUGGUACUUAUGUUUGGAAAGUAUGAUCAGGGAUAAUUUUAACUUUCUUUUAGUGGUAUUUUUCAAACCUUCAAACCUAUAAAUAAACUUCUCUUACACUUUAUUUGAUCAAUUUUAAAAAGUGAGGCUAGUCACGUUCAUUUCAAUCCAAUACUCCUAAAUUUCAUCAUUGGCCCAGUGUCAUGUGGCAUUAACUUCAAAGUUUAGGGUCACUGUUGAAUAAUUCCUUCUACAUAAACAUAUAUUCAUUUAGCUUAUUAAAUAUUUUGUCUAUAAAAUUAUCUACAUUUCUGUUGGCCAUUCUAUCUGCCUCAUAUAUAUACUUUGUGCGCCAGCAGAACAGAAUUAUUUUUCCCCUAAUUUCUCUUCCUUCCUUGUCUCUUUGGGGCUUUGCUGAGGCUCACUUAUCUUUCAGAUCUUAGCAUAAAUGUUGCUUAUCCAUGGAAACCUUUUCUGACUUCCUAGACUCCUUGCCCUCUCUAGCACUCAUCAACACUAUAAUUAAAUAUUAAAUAAUUGUUUAUAUAAUAAAUAACUAUUUAUAUUAGUUUAUUUCUCCAUCUAGAUUGUAAAAUACCUAAUGUCAGAGGCCCAGUUAAUUUUAUUUCCUACUGCAUUCCUUGGUCAAUAGUACAGUGCCUCAAAGAAAUCUUCUGAGUAAAUGGAUCAGUGGUAGAAAGAUGGCUGGCUGGAUAGAAGAAUGAAUGAAAUCUCCUCUGACUUGUGAACUUAGCCAACUACUCUCAAUCGUGAGUGCUCCCUCCUCUGUCUUCACAGGUAGACUGGGAUGCCCCCCUUUAUUUAGACUUGCAUUGCAUCUUUAUUCACUUGUUCAAUAAUUAUUUCUUGAACACCUAUUUUAUAGAGCCUAAUAUUUACAAAAUGUUAUUUAUUCAUGUAACAAUAUUAGCACAUUAUUUGUGGUCUCUUUUGUGCAAAAUCUUUAAAAUCUAAUGAAUGUUUUAAAUUUAUAGCACAUUUCAAUUCAGGGAAACUGCAUUUCAAGGACUCAAUAGCCACAUUAUUAGUCACCACUAUAUUGGACAGUACAAAUAUAGAGGAGACAGCAGAGGAAAACAGCCUACCUAGGGAUAAAUUUGGAAAGUUGAGAAAGUGAAAAUGAUCUAGAGUUGGCUGACAGAAGGGAAGAGUGGUAGGAAUGGACUUGGAAAGAGAGGGACAGGGACAACUUUUUGUAUCUUUCUUGUAACACACUUCCCAAAUUAUUGUAAACUCCUUCUUGAGUUUAUCUCUUUAUCCCAAUAGUUUAGAAGAUAAAGUAGGUAACACAUAUUUCAUGAAUAAAUUGAUAAAAUAAAUGAACAAAUGUAGAGGAAAGAGCUUGUUCAGUAAAAACGA